AGGCCAGGCACUACUCUGUCCCAACAAUAAGCCCUGUACAUUGGGAAAGGUGCCGAGACAUGAACUUUGGUCUUCUCUGCAAUCCAUCUGGAGCAUUCACUGACAACAUCGACUUUGAAGUUGCACUGACCUGGCCAGCCCUGCCACUUACCAGGUUGGGCUGUGGCUUGCCUUUUCACUUCUUGUGUCCUGUUUAAGAAAUAUCUGCUAUCCCAAGCAUCUGGCAUCUUUCUUGACAUAUGUAGCAGUUGCUUUUUGACAGCUUGCUUCUUCAGUGAAUGAAUAAAUUAAUAAAGAGAAAUGUGAUGUUCAGUGAUCCAUUUUGCAGAUUGCAAACUCCUAGAGAAGGGCUCAACAGUGAGUGCUGAGGCUGCACAGAGGAGGAAGGCAGCACAAUGAUGGAAGGCUUCCUAAAGAGAUAACACUAACAAAGUUGACCUUAGAAUUGGAGUGCCUGGGUUAGAACCCUGCUGGUACCACCUGCUUACUGCAUGCUUCUGAUGUGAGUUCAGGAGAAGACACUGGCAAGGACAGCAAAGAACAGGAGAACACUCUAGCUUCCCUGAUAGCAUUCAAGGUGCUGUCCAAACUGACUGUGAUGGCACCCUCCAGACAGACAGCGAUGCCACAUGUUCAAGAUGGCAGAAUCACUAUCAGCUUCAAUUCCUGAAUGACUGCAGAGCAAAAUUUCUUACCUGCAACAUACACUCUAUUUUCAGCCUCCCUGGACUGUUACAUAAUGAUACAUAAAAAUAUUUCUUGUGUUGAGGCAUCCCAAAUUUGAUUUAUUUGUCAUCACAGUCUAUCCUAUGAAUAUAUUUCUGAUCCAAAUAAUGCUAGAUUCAUGAGAGUUUAUAGUCCAGAGAUUUUUUUUUUUUUUUUGAGACAGAAUCUGUCUCCCAGGCUGGGGUGCAGUGGCAUAAUCUUAGCUCACUGCAACCUCUGCCUCCCGGGCUCAAGUGAUCCUCCCUCCUUAGCCUCCAUGAGUAGCUGGGACCACAGGUGUGCACCACCACACCCCGCUAAUUAUUUUGUAUUUUUUGCAGAGGGGGGUUUCACCACAUUGCCCAAGCUGGUCUCAAACUCCUAGACUUAAGGGAUCUGCCUGCCUUGGCCUCCCAAAAUGCUGAAAUUACACUUGUUAGCCAUAGUAAUAGUUCCUAGCCAUAGUCCGGAGAUAUUUUAAAAACUUUAGUGUGAGUUAUUUCUCUUUGCUAUAAUUCUCUCAUGCAUUUUGAAAACCUUUUCUGCCAUACAGUGGUUUUUGGGAAGUCCUUUUGGACAGACAUAUCACAGGAUGGAGAAACUAAAAA
RNAcentral lists this long non-coding RNA (1313 nucleotides) under Homo sapiens (human). RNAcentral's name for it is "non-protein coding lnc-FAM84B-15:43". Lineage: Eukaryota; Metazoa; Chordata; Mammalia; Primates; Hominidae. The record is from RNAcentral.